RNAcentral lists this unclassified non-coding RNA (554 nucleotides) under plant metagenome. RNAcentral's name for it is "partial contains small subunit ribosomal RNA and internal transcribed spacer 1". The stretch from base 22 to 346 matches the Rfam family "Group I catalytic intron". Rfam says of the family: Group I catalytic introns are large self-splicing ribozymes. They catalyse their own excision from mRNA, tRNA and rRNA precursors in a wide range of organisms. The record is from RNAcentral.
AAGUCGUAACAAGGUUUCGCAAGAACAGUAUCCUUCCGGGUGCCUGUGGAAGCCUAUGCAACCGAGAGGGGUCCGCGACUAUAAAAACCGGAUGCAAGUCGCAUAGCGGCAACAUGAUCGAAUUGCGGGGAUGUCCUAAAGCCGACAGUACCAACGCUCGGGGGGAAACCCCAGGCGGGCCUGUGCUAAUCACACAGGGGGGUCAUAAUCUGUCCGGAUGCACAAUGGAUAAUCCGCAGCGAAGCCCCUACCGGCACUAGCCCACGGGGGAACGUUCACAGACUAAGUGGUUGUGGGUAGGCCUGUCCUGCUUAAGAUAUAGUCGGGCUCCCCGGGAAACUGGGGAGAAUAACCGUUCCGUAGGUGAACCUGCGGAAGGAUCAUUACAGAGUUCAUGCCCCCCCUGGGGUAGAUCUCCCACCCUUGUGUAUCGUUAUCAAAUGUUGCUUUGGCGGGCCGCGGCCUGGCCGCCUGGGUUCGCGCCCGGCGUGCCCGCCAGAGGAUUCAAAACUCUGAAUGUUAGUGUCGUCUGAGUACUAUUUAAAUAGUUAAAA